This 477-nucleotide ribosomal RNA is filed under the name uncultured bacterium. Its description in RNAcentral is "partial 16S ribosomal RNA". It matches the Rfam family "Bacterial small subunit ribosomal RNA", at positions 30 to 507 of the family's 1533-position model. The record is from RNAcentral.
AUUGAACGCUGGCGGCAUGCCUUACACAUGCAAGUCGAACGGUAACAGGUUAAGCUGACGAGUGGCGAACGGGUGAGUCAUGUAUCGGAACGUGCCCAGUCGUGGGGGAUAACUGCUCGAAAGAGCAGCUAAUACCGCAUACGACCUGAGGGUGAAAGCGGGGGAUCGCAAGACCUCGCGCGAUUGGAGCGGCCGAUAUCAGAUUAGGUAGUUGGUGAGGUAAAGGCUCACCAAGCCGACGAUCUGUAGCUGGUCUGAGAGGACGACCAGCCACACUGGGACUGAGACACGGCCCAGACUCCUACGGGAGGCAGCAGUGGGGAAUGUUGGACAAUGGGCGCAAGCCUGAUCCAGCCAUGCCGCGUGCGGGAAGAAGGCCUUCGGGUUGUAAACCGCUUUUGUCAGGGAAGAAAAGGUUCUGGCUAAUACCUGGGACUCAUGACGGUACCUGAAGAAUAAGCACCGGCUAACUACGUG